Molecule: ribosomal RNA, 459 nt
Filed under: uncultured bacterium
Lineage: Bacteria
Description: partial 16S ribosomal RNA
Rfam family: Bacterial small subunit ribosomal RNA
Source: RNAcentral
CCUACGGGUGGCAGCAGUGAGGAAUAUUGGUCAAUGGGCGCGAGCCUGAACCAGCCAAGUCGCGUGAGGGAAGACGGUCCUAUGGAUUGUAAACCUCUUUUGUCGGGGAGCAAAAGACGCCACGCGUGGCGUUCCGAGAGUACCCGACGAAAAAGCAUCGGCUAACUCCGUGCCAGCAGCCGCGGUAAUACGGAGGAUGCGAGCGUUAUCCGGAUUUAUUGGGUUUAAAGGGUGCGCAGGCGGAAGAUAAAGUCAGUGGUAAAAUUGAGAGGCUCAACCUCUUCGAGCCGUUGAAACUGGUUUGCUUGAGUGGGCGAGAAGUAUGCGGAAUGCGUGGUGUAGCGGUGAAAUGCAUAGAGAUCACGCAGAACUCCGAGUGCGAAGGCAGCAUACCGGCGCUCAACUGACGCUCAUGCACGAAAGUGUGGGUAUCGAACAGGAUUAGAUACCCGGGUAGUC